GACGAACGCUGGCGGCGUGCUUAACACAUGCAAGUCGAACGGAAAGGCCCUGCUUUUGUGGGGUGCUCGAGUGGCGAACGGGUGAGUAACACGUGAGUAACCUGCCCUUGACUUUGGGAUAACUUCAGGAAACUGGGGCUAAUACCGGAUAGGCGCUCCUGCUGCAUGGUGGGGGUUGGAAAGUUUCGGCGGUUGGGGAUGGACUCUGCGCUUUUCAGUUUGUUUGUGGGGUAGUGGUAUACCAAGGCUUUGACGGGGAGCCGGCCUGAGAGGGUGACCGAGCACAUUGGGACUGAGAUACGGCCCAGACUCCUACGGGAGGCAGCAGUGGGGAAUAAUGCACAAUGGGCGGAAGCCUGAUGCAGCAACGCCGCGUGCGGGAUGACGGCCUUCGGGUUGUAAACCGCUUUCGCCUGUGACGAAGCGUGAGUGACGGUAAUGGGUAAAGAAGCACCGGCUAACUACGUG
Molecule: ribosomal RNA, 468 nt
Filed under: uncultured bacterium
Lineage: Bacteria
Description: partial 16S ribosomal RNA
Rfam family: Bacterial small subunit ribosomal RNA
Source: RNAcentral